AUUGUACGCUGGCGGCAUGCCUUACACAUGCAAGUCGAACGGUAACAGGUCUUCGGAUGCUGACGAGUGGCGAACGGGUGAGUAAUACAUCGGAACGUGCCUAGUAGUGGGGGAUAACUACUCGAAAGAGUGGCUAAUACCGCAUGAGAUCUACGGAUGAAAGCAGGGGAUCGCAAGACCUUGUGCUACUAGAGCGGCCGAUGGCAGAUUAGGUAGUUGGUGGGAUAAAAGCUUACCAAACCGACGAUCUGUAGCUGGUCUGAGAGGACGAUCAGCCACACUGGGACUGAGACACGGCCCAGACUCCUACGGGAGGCAGCAGUGGGGAAUUUUGGACAAUGGGCGCAAGCCUGAUCCAGCAAUGCCGCGUGCAGGAUGAAGGCCUUCGGGUUGUAAACUGCUUUUGUACGGAACGAAAAGCCCCGGGUUAAUACCCUGGGGUCAUGACGGUACCGUAAGAAUAAGCACCGGCUAACCACGUGCCAGCCGCCGCCGUAA
RNAcentral lists this ribosomal RNA (498 nucleotides) under uncultured bacterium. RNAcentral describes it as "partial 16S ribosomal RNA". It matches the Rfam family "Bacterial small subunit ribosomal RNA", at positions 30 to 523 of the family's 1533-position model. The record is from RNAcentral.